Misgurnus anguillicaudatus (oriental weatherfish) is the source of this 434-nucleotide non-coding RNA. The record is from RefSeq and is a predicted model, not a curated record. NCBI's taxonomy places the organism in Eukaryota, Metazoa, Chordata, Actinopteri, Cypriniformes, Cobitidae.
AAAAGAAGAAUAAACAUCGUUUGGGCGCCAAAAUGAGCAGCAGUCAGUCAGAAGAACUCUCUCAGACGGACACCACGUUAUUAAAGUCCAUCAUCCUUGCAUGCGCUACACACUCAAAAGCAUUGAUAAAUGCUGAAUUUAAAAGAAUCACUACUGUCUAAUGUUCCUGUGUCACCUGGACCUCCAAUCCAAAAACCUGACGAAACUCUUCUAUCAGAAAGGAGGACAGCUAGCAAAAAGACUUGGAACAAUCAAUGAUCAAAUGACAGAAGGCAUGGAUGAAGUCAGCAUCAGUGAGGUCAUUUGAAGACACCAAUGUUGGGAUUUGUGCUCUCAAACAACAUGCUUCUUGUGAUGAAGAAGAGGAUCUUUGUAUAGUCCUGGAAGGCAUGAAGGUGUUGCAACAUCGUGCCAUGUUGUUUGCGCUGAUGUAU